Molecule: non-coding RNA, 1338 nt
Organism: Cinara cedri
Lineage: Eukaryota; Metazoa; Arthropoda; Insecta; Hemiptera; Aphididae
Source: the annotation of a GenBank genome assembly
CGCAGAUCGAAAUCGUCAGGAUAACAUUGUUGUUCUGGCGGCCGGCUAACUAAACGUACCAUUAAUGUCCUCGAACCACUCGCUGUUUCAUAACGAACUAUCGCUCGUCCGAAUACUAACAAUCUUUAAGGUUUCGAUAACCGUAAUUCUCGAUUACGAUCAACAAUAAUCCGACACUUGAACGUUUGAAUUUUGAAGGCCUUCGGUUGCCGACUGCGCCGCGAUUCGAGAUUUGUUUUUGAUGACGAAUCACUAUUGCGCAGCCGUUUACUCUGAUCCGACAACGACGUCAAACUAUAUUAAUCCAAACACUCAAAGAUCGACGUCUGUCAAUCUGACGUAACGGGCGGGGCGAUCAAAGUAUUUUGAAAUCAAAAUCCGCCCGUCGUACAUUUACCCUCCUUACGCGGAAACCGUUCCGCUACCACGACACCGAGCCACGCGCUACUGCCGUCCGACCGAAUACUUCGAUGAGGCUUAGGUAAAACUUGGACGACCCAUCAUGAUAAUACGCACGCGAAACACGUCCAAACUUAAUAUAAGCACGUUAUAUGCGUUAUAGCACGUUCUGUUCAUAAUACAAUCUCUGCCCAUAACAUCCCCUCGGACCGAAAACGGUCCUGCGGGUUCCGGCUCAAGGGGCUCAGGGUAGGAUUCGGCCAUAUCGAGUCGUCCAGUAUCAAUCGGACACCGACCUUUUUGAUACGAUAGCACACGGCCAAUUACAGUUUUUCGCGUUUACAACCUGUGACCAAUGUUGAAACCGGAAAUUUUAUUUUUCGCGGGGAUGCUCACUUUUUUUUCGUUGUUCGUUUCGGGUGUAACGGGUAACGGGUGUCGACGGUCGUAUUUGUCAGAUGACGAAUAAAAUUCCGGGGAGGGUGGGGAGUACCUCGGUCCCCCCCCCCCGGAGUUUAUGCAGAUUCAACAUUUCCGUUUUUUUCAAUUCGAAAUGUCGCAUCGAUACGCCGCACGUUCACUGUAAAAAAAAAAAAAAAAAACGUUUUCGUUCCUCUAAAUUGCGUCUGGAUUAGACUGGCGGCACAAACCGCAUAGCGUCCGCCGGCACUCGGUGUCCACGUUAACGAACCGUGCCUCCGUUGACGGAUUUUCCGUCUCUAAUAGUGCGCUUAUUGUAAAAAAAAAAAAAAAAAAAAAAUGAUAAAAAAUACGCCGCGCUUACAGAUUGUACGACUAAAAAAAAAAAAAAAACCCGAUAAAAAAAAAUGUUCAAACGUAACAAAACAAAUCCGCAAUAAACCGCGGAGCAUAAUCGUAAUAAAUUGUAUUGUUAUUAUUUUCGCGGGGCAUUUUUCAAAAAAAAAUAUAUUUCGUCUC